CAGCCCCUUGUUCUGAAAGGCUUUCUGCUGGGAUCCCAUUAUGUGCUUGAAUAAACCCUUUCUGCAAACAGAAAUGGGACUCGGGGUUGUCAGGUGUUGGGUUACAAUAGACUUUGAGGCAGGGGACAUUUUACCAACAUAAAUACAAACCUGUCCCUAUAGGGAGAUGUUGUCAAAUACUGGGAUAUGGAAAACAUUCCCAUCAAAUAUGAGAAAAGGAUUA
This 223-nucleotide long non-coding RNA is filed under the name Homo sapiens (human). Its description in RNAcentral is "non-protein coding lnc-DMRT3-1:1". The record is from RNAcentral. Lineage: Eukaryota; Metazoa; Chordata; Mammalia; Primates; Hominidae.